Molecule: ribosomal RNA, 548 nt
Filed under: uncultured Glomus
Lineage: Eukaryota; Fungi; Glomeromycota; Glomeromycetes; Glomerales; Glomeraceae
Description: SSU rRNA
Rfam family: Eukaryotic small subunit ribosomal RNA
Source: RNAcentral
UUGGAGGGCAAGUCUGGUGCCAGCAGCCGCGGUAUUUCCAGCUCCAAUAGCGUAUAUUAAAGUUGUUGCAGUUAAAAAGCUCGUAGUUGAAUUUCGAGAUCAAAUUGUUGGUCGUGCCUUGGUACGUACUGGCAUUAUUGAUUUCUCCCUUCUGAAGAACCACGAUGUCAUUAAUUUGGUGUCAUGGGGAAUCAGGACUGUUACUUUGAAAAAAUUAGAGUGUUCAAAGCAAGCUAGCGCUUGAAUACAUUAGCAUGGAAUAAUGAAAUGGGACGUUCGAUCCUAUUUUGUUGGUUUCUAGGAUUGACGUAAUGAUUAAUAGGGAUAGUUGGGGGCAUUAGUAUUCAAUCGUCAGAGGUGAAAUUCUUGGAUUUAUUGAAGACUAACUACUGCGAAAGCAUUUGCCAAGGAUGUUUUCAUUAAUCAAGAACGAAAGUUAGGGGAUCGAAGACGAUCAGAUACCGUCGUAGUCUUAACCAUAAACUAUGCCGACUAGGGAUCGGAUGAUGUUAAUUUUAUAAUGACUCAUUCGGCGCCUUACGGGAAAC